This 484-nucleotide ribosomal RNA is filed under the name uncultured bacterium. RNAcentral's name for it is "partial 16S ribosomal RNA". It matches the Rfam family "Bacterial small subunit ribosomal RNA", at positions 29 to 507 of the family's 1533-position model. The record is from RNAcentral.
AUUGAACGCUGGCGGCAUGCUUUACACAUGCAAGUCGAACGGCAGCGCGGGCUUCGGCCUGGCGGCGAGUGGCGAACGGGUGAGUAAUACAUCGGCACGUGCCCAGUAGUGGGGGAUAGCUCGGCGAAAGCCGGAUUAAUACCGCAUACGACCUGAGGGUGAAAGCGGGGGAUCUUCGGACCUCGCGCUAUUGGAGCGGCCGAUGGCAGAUUAGCUAGUUGGUGGGGUAAAGGCCUACCAAGGCGACGAUCUGUAGCUGGUCUGAGAGGACGACCAGCCACACUGGGACUGAGACACGGCCCAGACUCCUACGGGAGGCAGCAGUGGGGAAUUUUGGACAAUGGGCGAAAGCCUGAUCCAGCAAUGCCGCGUGUGUGAUGAAGGCCUUCGGGUUGUAAAGCACUUUUGGCGGGAACGAAAAGGACUGUGCCAAUACCACGGUUCGAUGACGGUACCCGCAGAAUAAGCACCGGCUAACUACGUG